This 424-nucleotide ribosomal RNA is filed under the name uncultured bacterium. RNAcentral's name for it is "bacterial SSU rRNA". It matches the Rfam family "Bacterial small subunit ribosomal RNA", at positions 355 to 776 of the family's 1533-position model. The record is from RNAcentral.
UGAGGAAUAUUGGUCAAUGGGCGUAAGCCUGAACCAGCCAUCCCGCGUGAAGGAAGAAGGCGCUAUGCGUUGUAAACUUCUUUUCCGGAGGAAUAAAAUUUUGUACGAGUACGAAACUGAAGGUACUCCGGGAAUAAGCAUCGGCUAACUCCGUGCCAGCAGCCGCGGUAAUACGGAGGAUGCGAGCGUUAUCCGGAUUUAUUGGGUUUAAAGGGUGCGUAGGCGGAUUAAUAAGUCAGUGGUGAAAACCUUCAGCUUAACUGGAGACUUGCCAUUGAUACUGUUAGUCUUGAGUACGGUCAAGGUAGGCGGAAUGUGUAAUGUAGCGGUGAAAUGCUUAGAUAUUACACAGAACACCGAUUGCGAAGGCAGCUUACUGGGCCAUUACUGACGCUGAUGCACGAAAGCGUGGGGAGCGAACAGG